RNAcentral lists this ribosomal RNA (412 nucleotides) under Dolichoiulus tongiorgii. Its description in RNAcentral is "partial 16S ribosomal RNA". It matches the Rfam family "Archaeal large subunit ribosomal RNA", at positions 1907 to 2592 of the family's 2987-position model. Lineage: Eukaryota; Metazoa; Arthropoda; Diplopoda; Julida; Julidae. The record is from RNAcentral.
AUCGCUUUCUGUGCUUUAUAGAAAGUUUGGCCUGCUCACUGAGAGGGGUUAAAGAGCUGCAGUAUUAUAACUGUACAAAGGUAGCAUAAUCAUUAGUCUUUUGAUUGAAGACUGGGAUGAAGGGUUGGACAAGAAGAUAUUAAUUUAUUGUUUAGCACCCGAAAUUUACUUUUUUGUAAAAAGGCAAAAAUGAAAAUAAGCGACAAGAAGACCCUUUAAGCUUUAUUUCUAACUGUAAUGGGUUAAGGUUAGAGGUUUUGCUGGGGCGGCAGUUAUAAAAACAUUAAUUAAAUUAAAUAGCCUAUAAAUAGCUUUAUAGAAUUUGGUCCUAAGAGGGGACAAAAGGAAAAGCUACUAAAGGGAUAACAGCGUGAUGUAUUUUAAAAGUUCUUAUUGACAAAUAUGUUUGCGA